AUCGAGUUGUGGUUUAAACGUAAGGCUCUUGGAUGGGUCUGCGGCGGAUUAGGUUGUUGCCGGUGUAACGUACCAGCAAGCCUGUAAUCCGUACGGGUUGUGGGAGCAAGAGCCCGGAGAUGGAUUCUGAGACACGAAUCCAGGCCCUACGGGGCGCAGCAGGCGCGAAAACUCUACAAUGCAGGCAACUGCGAUAGGGGAACAUCGAGUGGCAUCCACCACGGAUGUCUGUCCAAUCGUCUAAAAAACGAUUGUCAGCAAGGGCCGGGCAAGACCGGUGCCAGCCGCCGCGGUAAUACCGGCGGCUCGAGUGGUGGCCGAUAUUAUUGAGUCUAAAGGGUCCGUAGCCGGCUUUGCAAGUCCUAUGGGAAAUCCAGCGGCUUAACCGUUGGGCUUUCAUGGGAUACUACAUUGCUUGGGACUGGGAGAGGUAGGAGGUACUCAGGGGGUAGGGGUGAAAUCCUGUAAUCCUUUGGGGACCACCGGUGGCGAAGGCGUCCUACCAGAACAGGUCCGACGGUGAGGGACGAAAGCUAGGGGCACGAACCGGAUUAGAUACCCGGGUAGUCCUAGCCGUAAACGAUGCUCGCUAGGUGUCACGGCAGUCGUGAAUUGUCGUGGUGCCGUAGGGAAGCCGUGA
RNAcentral lists this ribosomal RNA (640 nucleotides) under uncultured archaeon. Its description in RNAcentral is "bacterial SSU rRNA". It matches the Rfam family "Archaeal small subunit ribosomal RNA", at positions 174 to 817 of the family's 1478-position model. The record is from RNAcentral.